AUUGUAAGGGGUUAAUAUGUAGUUUGUAUUUGAAUAGUUAGAUUAACGUGUUAGUAAUCCAAUUGUAGGCGGUUCGUGUGUGGAUCUCGUCAGCAUAUCAUCGCAAACAGGUAAUCCCCAACCAUAGUGGGCUUGGAGCUGUGAGGGAAUUCGGAGUGGCCACCCGUUCUGAAAGUUUGAUUUUCUUCUGGUGAACUGGACAUCCUUUUAUUUACGUUUGAAGUUUUGUGUUUUUAAAUGUAAUAAGGCCGCUUAAUUAUUUUUGAUGGUUUUAAUAUGUAUUACUAAGAUAGGUAUUACUUAUUUUAACUGUUGAAAUUGGAUAGCUUUAGGGCGCGUUUUCAAAAACAACAA
Molecule: long non-coding RNA, 354 nt
Organism: Gossypium arboreum
Lineage: Eukaryota; Viridiplantae; Streptophyta; Magnoliopsida; Malvales; Malvaceae
Exons: 2
Source: RefSeq, a predicted model, not a curated record